Molecule: long non-coding RNA, 223 nt
Filed under: Capsicum annuum
Lineage: Eukaryota; Viridiplantae; Streptophyta; Magnoliopsida; Solanales; Solanaceae
Description: long non-coding RNA (CANN_LNC008138)
Source: RNAcentral
AUGUCAUCAUUUUAUUGGUUAUUUUUGCCACGUCAGGCGAGUGUAUUACACACACCCCAUGCCUGUUGCUGAUUAGGAAAAAAAUGUCCAAUUGAAAUAAAAUUCGGGGGGUUUAGGAGUUUGAUAGGUACAGACCUUAGUUUAGGGGUCUAAGUGAAUUUUCGAGACAAGUUUGAGGUCCUAUCGAUGGGUUUGGCUUAUGAAGAAUUAAUCCAUGUGAACG